CCUACGGGAGGCAGCAGUGAGGAAUAUUGGUCAAUGGACGCGAGCCUGAACCAGCCAAGUAGCGUGAAGGAUGACUGCCCUAUGGGUUGUAAACUUCUUUUAUAAAGGAAUAAACUCAGGUACGCGUACCUUUUUGUAUGUACUGUAUGAAUAAGGAUCGGCUAACUCCGUGCCAGCAGCCGCGGUAAUACGGAGGAUCCGAGCGUUAUCCGGAUUUAUUGGGUUUAAAGGGUGCGUAGGUGGUCGGUUAAGUCAGUGGUGAAAUUUUGCGGCUCAACUUUAGAAUUGCAUUUGAUACUGGUAGUCUAGAGAGUAGUUGAGGUAGGCGGAAUGUAUGGUGUAGCGGUGAAAUGCUUAG
RNAcentral lists this ribosomal RNA (358 nucleotides) under uncultured bacterium. RNAcentral's name for it is "partial 16S ribosomal RNA". It matches the Rfam family "Bacterial small subunit ribosomal RNA", at positions 338 to 693 of the family's 1533-position model. The record is from RNAcentral.